Molecule: ribosomal RNA, 404 nt
Filed under: uncultured bacterium
Lineage: Bacteria
Description: bacterial SSU rRNA
Rfam family: Bacterial small subunit ribosomal RNA
Source: RNAcentral
GGGCCCGCACAAGCGGUGGAGUAUGUGGUUUAAUUCGAUGCAACGCGAAGAACCUUACCAGGGUUUGACAUCCUGCGAAUCUCUUGGAAACAGGAGAGUGCCUUCGGGAACGCAGUGACAGGUGGUGCAUGGCUGUCGUCAGCUCGUGUCGUGAGAUGUUGGGUUAAGUCCCGCAACGAGCGCAACCCACGUCUUUAGUUGCCAGCAUUUAGUUGGGCACUCUAGAGAGACUGCCGGUGAUAAACCGGAGGAAGGUGUGGAUGACGUCAAGUCCUCAUGGCCCUUACGGGUUGGGCUACACACGUGCUACAAUGGUGGUGACAAUGGGUUAAUCCCAAAAAGCCAUCUCAGUUCGGAUUGGGGUCUGCAACUCGACCCAUGAAGUCGGAAUCGCUAGUAAUCGC